UUAAGCAUAUCAAUAAGCGGAGGAAAAGAAACCAACAGGGAUUGCCCCAGUAACGGCGAGUGAAGCGGCAACAGCUCAAAUUUGAAAUCUGGCCCCAGGCCCGAGUUGUAAUUUGCAGAGGAUGCUUUUGGCGCGGUGCCUUCCGAGUUCCCUGGAACGGGACGCCAUAGAGGGUGAGAGCCCCGUACGGUUGGACACCAAGCCUUUGUAAAGCUCCUUCGACGAGUCGAGUAGUUUGGGAAUGCUGCUCUAAAUGGGAGGUACAUUUCUUCUAAAGCUAAAUAUUGGCCAGAGACCGAUAGCGCACAAGUAGAGUGAUCGAAAGAUGAAAAGCACUUUGAAAAGAGGGUUAAACAGCACGUGAAAUUGUUAAAAGGGAAGCGCUUGUGACCAGACUUGCGUCCGGUGAAUCACCCAGCUCUCGCGGCUGGGGCACUUCGCCGGCACAGGCCAGCAUCAGCUUGCCGUCGGGGACAAAAGCUUCAGGAACGUGGCUCCUCUCGGGGAGUGUUAUAGCCUGUUGCACAAUACCCUUCGGCGGGCUGAGGUACGCGCUCCGCAAGGAUGCUGGCGUAAUGGUCAUCAGCGACCCGUCUUGAAACACGGACCAAGGAGUCAACCUUAUGUGCGAGUGUUUGGGUGUUAAACCCCUACGCGUAAUGAAAGUGAACGCAGGUGAGAGCUUCGGCGCAUCAUCGACCGAUCCUGAUGUUCUCGGAUGGAUUUGAGUAAGAGCAUAUAGGGUUGGACCCGAAAGAAGGUGAACUAUGCGUGUGUAGGGUGAAGCCAGAGGAAACUCUGGUGGAGGCUCGCAGCGGUUCUGACGUGCAAAUCGAUCGUCAAACAUGCGCAUGGGGGCGAAAGACUAAUCGAACCUUCUAGUAGCUGGUUUCCGCCGAAGUUUCCCUCAGGAUAGCAGUGUUGAGCUCAGUUUUAUGAGGUAAAGCGAAUGAUUAGGGACUCGGGGGCUAUUUUUUGCCUUCAUCCAUUCUCAAACUUUAAAUAUGUAAGAAGCCCUUGUUACUUAGUUGAACGUGGGCAUUCGAAUGUAUCAACACUAGUGGGCCAUUUUUGGUAAGCAGAACUGGCGAUGCGGGAUGAACCGAACGCGAGGUUAAGGUGCCAGAGUAGUCGCUCAUCAGACACCACAAAAGGUGUUAGUACAUCUUGACAGCAGGACGGUGGCCAUGGAAGUCGGAAUCCGCUAAGGACUGUGUAACAACUCACCUGCCGAAUGUACUAGCCCUGAAAAUGGAUGGCGCUCAAGCGACUCACCCAUACCUCGCCCUCAGUGUAGAAACGAUGCGCUGAGGAGUAGGCGGACGUGGAGGUCAGUGACGAAGCCUAGGGCGUGAGCCC
This 1359-nucleotide ribosomal RNA is filed under the name Colletotrichum phormii. RNAcentral describes it as "eukaryotic LSU rRNA". It matches the Rfam family "Eukaryotic large subunit ribosomal RNA", at positions 34 to 1424 of the family's 3401-position model. Lineage: Eukaryota; Fungi; Ascomycota; Sordariomycetes; Glomerellales; Glomerellaceae. The record is from RNAcentral.